Molecule: transfer RNA, 69 nt
Filed under: Lepetodrilus nux
Lineage: Eukaryota; Metazoa; Mollusca; Gastropoda; Lepetellida; Lepetodrilidae
Description: tRNA-Trp
Source: RNAcentral
AGAAUCUUAGAUUAACUUGAAAUCGGAAACUUUCAAAGUUUCAAAUAGGAAAUAAGUUCCUAGGUUCUG